Molecule: long non-coding RNA, 415 nt
Filed under: Panax ginseng (ginseng)
Lineage: Eukaryota; Viridiplantae; Streptophyta; Magnoliopsida; Apiales; Araliaceae
Description: long non-coding RNA (PGIN_LNC004193)
Source: RNAcentral
UCAUUAACUUAAUUCAUCAUUCCUCUUGCUAAAAUAUAUAUAGCACUUUACUAAGUAUAUAUAUUUCUAUACAUAUACUCAUCUUCGUUUAACCUCAUAGCAUCUCUUCAUGUGAAAUCUUAUUUCCAAUAAUAAAAUUUCCAUAUGUACUUAUAUAACAUUUCUUAGACUAUUCAGUUCACAUCGAACUUACAGGUAUCGUAAUACCUUAUUCUUGAUAUUCCUCCAAGUACAUAUUAAUUCAUUUCUAGGGUUUAGGAAUUUUGUAAUCCCAUAUUUUCUCUAUUCUCAUUCGAAUAGCAAACCAUAUAGGUUUUACUUGAAAAUUUUAAAUAAAUCCUCAAAUUCUCAUCUAGGUUUUAUUCUUUAACCUUUAUUCUAAUCAUUUAAGAUUUUAGAAAUUUUCGGGUUAUCA